GUAUCAGCCACCACGAUGCUGACUCUCUGGGUCCUGGCUGUCAUGUUGGCGGUCCAGGAAGAAGCACUUGGCCAGCUGGAGCUUGCAGAUAGGCCUUCCCUAAUACCCACUUUGCCUGUCUGUUUUCCACCUGGAUUGCUCCCUGGAAGUCUGUCAGCCUCAAAAGUCCCUCUACCCAGAAAAUACCCAGCGAGGACCAAAGGAGGCAGGUGUCCACCCAUCACCAAGUACUUCAUAUCUGGCAGCAAACUCAAAGACGAUAUGAAUGCCACCUUGCCCCCGCAGAUUGAGAAGAUUCUGAAGUGUGAGAAGGUUAACUUGGCUGGUUUGCUUGGAACCAUAUUAUCCACAGUGAGCGACUUGGACCUGCUAUCUCUAUUAGACCUCACUUCACCCCUUGAUAUACUUGGAGGUGCCAGCCUCAGUGGUAUCCUAGGUGAGGGAAAUGGCGGCAAGUCCUCGAACCUUCCAUUGCUCUCAGAACUCACUGGUGCUGUCAGUGGUCUGCUACCCCAGGGGACGGAGGGUCUGGUGAGCCUACUACCCACUGGUUCAGACAAGAACCUUGUAAAAGGACUCUUCGGUGGCACUGGUCUCUCCACUCUCCAGCAGCCUCUGAAGGAUGUGACCGACAAAGUCCAAGACCUCAAAGAGUCUGCUCGGGGCGUGCUGCCCUCAGGCAUCAGCAACGCACUCCCAGACCUGCUGAAAAAUGCUGACCUGGAACAGCUCUUGCUAUUACAGGUUGAAAAAGUAACUGUGGAGAGCAUGAAGUCAACCAUGACAGGCGAUGGGAUCCAUGUCCAAGCCACGACUACGGCCUUCAUAGGUGGAAAAGGGCUAAAGCCCACUUUAACAAAAAUACAGUCACUGUGCCUGGAAGUUCUCUCUCUUCAGAUACUAAAAAUGUCAGCGUUUCCCUAAUUCUGUCCUACACGAUGCUGAAGGUCAUCAUCACUCACACUGCCAAGCAGAGCUCUGUGCAGAGAAAUAACCUGGAUGCAAGAAUCACCAAACUAACCUACUCCCAGCGGCCAGACAAUAAAAUCCAAGCCAGCUACUGGGUUAACAUCACCAAGGACGGUGGGAGCUUUGUCACCGGGCAAACGGACUUAAUCAUCUCAUUCAUCAGCAAGAUUUCGAAAGACAAACUGAUCACAGACAUCGAAC
Molecule: small RNA, 1170 nt
Filed under: Pongo abelii (Sumatran orangutan)
Lineage: Eukaryota; Metazoa; Chordata; Mammalia; Primates; Hominidae
Description: transcribed unitary pseudogene
Source: RNAcentral